GGCCCCAUGGCGCAAUGGUAGCGCGUCAGAUUCCAGCUUCAGUUGGAGCAUCCUGAAGGUUAGGCGUUCAAAUCGCCUUGGGGUCA
RNAcentral lists this transfer RNA (86 nucleotides) under Corynespora cassiicola Philippines. It matches the Rfam family "tRNA". From Rfam's summary of the family: Transfer RNA (tRNA) molecules are approximately 80 nucleotides in length. Their secondary structure includes four short double-helical elements and three loops (D, anti-codon, and T loops). Further hydrogen bonds mediate the characteristic L-shaped molecular structure. tRNAs have two regions of fundamental functional importance: the anti-codon, which is responsible for specific mRNA codon recognition, and the 3' end, to which the tRNAs corresponding amino acid is attached (by aminoacyl-tRNA synthetases). tRNAs cope with the degeneracy of the genetic code in two manners: having more than one tRNA (with a specific anti-codon) for a particular amino acid; and 'wobble' base-pairing, i.e. permitting non-standard base-pairing at the 3rd anti-codon position. The record is from Rfam by way of RNAcentral. Lineage: Eukaryota; Fungi; Ascomycota; Dothideomycetes; Pleosporales; Corynesporascaceae.